Molecule: long non-coding RNA, 222 nt
Organism: Pelodiscus sinensis (Chinese soft-shelled turtle)
Lineage: Eukaryota; Metazoa; Chordata; Testudines; Trionychidae
Source: RefSeq, a predicted model, not a curated record
AAAAGAGGCCAUCCCAGACCGAAAGAAGAGUUUUCGGAGCUGGAGAGGCCACAGAAUGAGUGAGGCAUGACCACAGCUGGAACCCCAAAAUUCUCAUCCUCAGAUUUAUCAACAGGCUUCAGUGGAAAAGAUCUUCAGCUGGUCCCUUAACAAGUCUGUAGGAGCAUAUUGAGGAAGGCAAGGAACAUUCUGCUGCAAAAUCAGACAGAGUUUGGAAGGACG